RNAcentral lists this ribosomal RNA (253 nucleotides) under uncultured bacterium. Its description in RNAcentral is "partial 16S ribosomal RNA". It matches the Rfam family "Bacterial small subunit ribosomal RNA", at positions 524 to 776 of the family's 1533-position model. The record is from RNAcentral.
UACAGAGGGUGCGAGCGUUAAUCGGAAUUACUGGGCGUAAAGCGCGCGUAGGCGGCUUUGCAAGUCGGGUGUGAAAUCCCCAGGCUUAACCUGGGAACUGCAUUCGAGACUGCAUUGCUAGAGUAUGGGAGAGGGAAGUGGAAUUUCCGGUGUAGCGGUGAAAUGCGCAGAUAUCAGGAGGAACACCGGUGGCGAAGGCGGUUCUCUGGGCAUUACCUGACGCUGAGGAGCGAAAGUGUGGGGAGCGAACAGG